GUUUGAUCCUGGCUCAGAAUGAACGCUGGCGGCGUGCUUAACACAUGCAAGUCGAACGAGAAAGGCCGGCUUCGGCUGGCCGAGUACAGUGGCGCACGGGUGAGUAACGCGUAGGCAACCUAACCCUGUGACGGGGAUAACAGCUCGAAAGGGCUGCUAAUACCCGAUACGAUGAUGGACCGGAGGGUCCAUCGUGAAAGAGGGCCUCUCUUUUGGAAGCUCUUGCACGGGGGAGGGCCUGCGUCCUAUCAGCUUGUUGGCGAGGUAACGGCUCACCAAGGCGACGACGGGUAGCUGGUCUGAGAGGAUGAUCAGCCACACUGGCACUGGAACACGGGCCAGACUCCUACGGGAGGCAGCAGUGAGGAAUUUUGCGCAAUGGGGGAAACCCUGACGCAGCAACGCCGCGUGGGUGAUGAAGGCCUUCGGGCCGUAAAGCCCUGUCGGGUGGGAAGAAGGACCGGGGAGCGAACAGAUUUCCGGUCAUGACGGUACCACCAGAGGAAGCACCGGCUAACUCCGUGCCAGCAGCCGCGGUAA
Molecule: ribosomal RNA, 540 nt
Filed under: uncultured delta proteobacterium
Lineage: Bacteria; Deltaproteobacteria
Description: bacterial SSU rRNA
Rfam family: Bacterial small subunit ribosomal RNA
Source: RNAcentral